GAUGAACGCUGGCGGCGUGCCUAAUACACGCAAGUCGAGCGAACAGAUAAGGAGCUUGCUCCUUUGACGUUAGCGGCGGACGGGUGAGUAACACGUGGGUAACCUACCUAUAAGACUGGGAUAACUUCGGGAAACCGGAGCUAAUACCGGAUAACAUUUGGAACCGCAUGGUUCUAAAGUGAAUGAUGGUUUUGCUAUCACUUAUAGAUGGACCCGCGCCGUAUUAGCUAGUUGGUAAGGUAACGGCUUACCAAGGCGACGAUACGUAGCCGACCUGAGAGGGUGAUCGGCCACACUGGAACUGAGACACGGUCCAGACUCCUACGGGAGGCAGCAGUAGGGAAUCUUCCGCAAUGGGCGAAAGCCUGACGGAGCAACGCCGCGUGAGUGAUGAAGGGUUUCGGCUCGUAAAACUCUGUUAUUAGGGAAGAACAAACGUGUAAGUAACUGUGCACGUCUUGACGGUACCUAAUCAGAAAGCCACGGCUAACUACGUGCCAGCCGCCGCAGUAA
Molecule: ribosomal RNA, 513 nt
Filed under: uncultured bacterium
Lineage: Bacteria
Description: partial 16S ribosomal RNA
Rfam family: Bacterial small subunit ribosomal RNA
Source: RNAcentral